RNAcentral lists this ribosomal RNA (460 nucleotides) under uncultured bacterium. RNAcentral's name for it is "partial 16S ribosomal RNA". It matches the Rfam family "Bacterial small subunit ribosomal RNA", at positions 338 to 795 of the family's 1533-position model. The record is from RNAcentral.
CCUACGGGCGUCAGCAGUGAGGAAUAUUGGUCAAUGGACGAGAGUCUGAACCAGCCAAGUAGCGUGAAGGAUGACUGCCCUAUGGGUUGUAAACUUCUUUUAUAUGGGAAUAAAACGUUCCACGUGUGUGAUUUUGUAUGUACCAUAUGAAUAAGGAUCGGCUAACUCCGUGCCAGCAGCCGCGGUAAUACGGAGGAUCCGAGCGUUAUCCGGAUUUAUUGGGUUUAAAGGGAGCGUAGGUGGAUUGUUAAGUCAGUUGUGAAAGUUUGCGGCUCAACCGUAAAAUUGCAGUUGAAACUGGCAGUCUUGAGUACAGUAGAGGUGGGCGGAAUGCGUGGUGUAGCGGUGAAAUGCUUAGAUAUCACGAAGAACUCCGAUUGCGAAGGCAGUUCACUGGACUGCAACUGACACUGAGGCUCGAAAGUGUGGGUAUCAAACAGGAUUAGAUACCCUAGUAGUC